RNAcentral lists this ribosomal RNA (466 nucleotides) under uncultured bacterium. RNAcentral's name for it is "partial 16S ribosomal RNA". It matches the Rfam family "Bacterial small subunit ribosomal RNA", at positions 28 to 507 of the family's 1533-position model. The record is from RNAcentral.
GAUGAACGCUGGCGGCGUGCUUAACACAUGCAAGUCGAACGAUGAAGCCCAGCUUGCUGGGUGGAUUAGUGGCGAACGGGUGAGUAACACGUGAGUAACCUGCCCUUAACUCUGGGAUAAGCCUGGGAAACUGGGUCUAAUACCGGAUAGGAGCGUCCACCGCAUGGUGGGUGUUGGAAAGAUUUAUCGGUUUUGGAUGGACUCGCGGCCUAUCAGCUUGUUGGUGAGGUAAUGGCUCACCAAGGCGACGACGGGUAGCCGGCCUGAGAGGGUGACCGGCCACACUGGGACUGAGACACGGCCCAGACUCCUACGGGAGGCAGCAGUGGGGAAUAUUGCACAAUGGGCGAAAGCCUGAUGCAGCGACGCCGCGUGAGGGAUGACGGCCUUCGGGUUGUAAACCUCUUUCAGUAGGGAAGAAGCGAAAGUGACGGUACCUGCAGGAGAAGCACCGGCUAACUACGUG